Molecule: ribosomal RNA, 436 nt
Filed under: uncultured Desulfobulbus sp.
Lineage: Bacteria; Pseudomonadati; Thermodesulfobacteriota; Desulfobulbia; Desulfobulbales; Desulfobulbaceae
Description: bacterial SSU rRNA
Rfam family: Bacterial small subunit ribosomal RNA
Source: RNAcentral
UGCAACGACGAAGAACCUUACCUGGUCUUGACAUCCCGGAGAACCCUUAGGAAACGUAGGGGUGGUCUUCCAUCUGGAAGAAUCUGGAGACAGGUGCUGCAUGGCUGUCGUCAGCUCGUGUCGUGAGAUGUUGGGUUAAGUCCCGCAACGAGCGCAACCCUUGCCUUUAGUUGCCAGCAGUUCGGCUGGCACUCUAAAGGGACUGCCGGUGUUAAACCGGAGGAAGGUGGGGAUGACGUCAAGUCCUCAUGGCCUUUAUGACCAGGGCUACACACGUACUACAAUGGCCGAUACAAAGGGCAGCGACACUGCGAGGUGAAGCCAAUCCCGUAAAAUCGGUCUCAGUCCGGAUUGGAGUCUGCAACUCGACUCCAUGAAGUUGGAAUCGCUAGUAAUCGUGGAUCAGCAUGCCACGGUGAAUACGUUCCCGGGCCUU